CUUCGAGCGCUAGAUGGCCACGAGUUAAAAAACAAAAGACGGAAUGAUAAAUUAUUAUUUAUUUUUUUUGUGGCGAAAACCAGUUGCCAUAUACCUUCGGAUUUUAAAGUUUUGAUCGCUUUUCAAGCAAUUUCCUAGAAAUGUUGAAAGAUUACACAGCGAAGCAAAGCAUAUUUACUGAGAGUAAAAACAAGAUCAACUUAAUGGUAUACAAAAAGAAUAUUGCCUGGAUGAGCAAGUCUACUGUAUCUGCUGUAGCUCAGACGAACCCAUGGACUCACUACUGUGGUGAAUGCAUUCCUUGUUAUUAUGUAAAUAGUUGCAACAAGUGUGACUUAAUGAAAACCAUGCCAGCUGUUAACGUAAGAAGAGGAAAUUGUUGGAAAACCCAUCUUGAAUGAAGCCAAAUAUUCCUAUGCUGAUGUUUGAGAGCCCAGCCUGUGAUAUAAUAAUACCCCCUGUUCUAGCUAGAAAAGGCAAGAAGAAGAAAUUGUUCCUUUGCUACUUCUGGGGACCACCAUAACAGCCAACAGCACAUCACAGCACCAGAAUACAGAAGAGUCCUGUUUUGUACUAUUGACAUAUUGCUUCCAUGGAGUUGGUACGGGAAAACAACACUGACAGGCCAUAGUUAAAAGCUUCUCAAGACUUACCUCCGUCGCCUUGCCCGUCGUCUUGUCCGUCGCCUUGCCCGUCGUCUUGUCCGUCGCCUUGCCCGUCGCCUUGCCCGUCGCCUUGCCCGUCGCCUUGCCCGUCGCCUUGCCCGUCGCCUUGCCCGUCGCCUUGCCCAUCGCCUUGCCCGUCGUCUCGUCCGUCGCCUUGCCCGUCGUCUCGUUUGUCGCCUUGCCCGUCGUCUUUCCCGCCACCAGCCUUCGCUUCGCCCGUUACCCCGCCUUCGUCUCCUGUCUUCAGUUCGCCCGUCACCGCACCGUCUCCACUUCGCCCGUUGCCCCGUCUUCGCCUCGUGGUCGCCCCGUCACCGCCUCGUAUUUUGGUAUCGUCGUACUUUUUAAUGUGUAAUUGUGUAGUAUUAAUUAACCCGUUGGCUGCCACCCACUUUGAUCCCCUUUUUUUUUAAAGCUUGUUAGGGUCCGGCAGCGCUGUUCUGCCCAAUGGUCUAUAUGCCAUGGGUGGGACAGUUGCACAAGCCGUGUGGCUCAAAGUCGAUCGUCGAGGCAAUGCACCAGUAGAGACUUCCCCCUUGUCGAUGUGGUGUUGGUUGCCUGGGGUGUGCAUUCCCAUAACGGCUUCCAUCAUCAAAUCAGCCCGGACUUGUUUUCGGACAAGUCCCCCUUGGUCGCUAUCCUUUCGAUAGCGAUGUAGCUACUGUAGAUUUAGUGGCGUGGCAGCCAACGGGUUAGUUUUAUUUAUGUAUGUUUUGUAUUGUAUUGUAUUGUAUUGUAAAAUGUAAAAAUUUUGUGGUGGAUUUGUGGGUGGAUGGAGGGACAAUAAAUACUUUAUAUUAUU
This 1467-nucleotide long non-coding RNA is filed under the name Daphnia magna. RNAcentral describes it as "uncharacterized LOC123475229, transcript variant X2". The record is from RNAcentral. Lineage: Eukaryota; Metazoa; Arthropoda; Branchiopoda; Diplostraca; Daphniidae.